UUCGUACAUAAUUAUUUUAGUUUUAACAAAGAAAUCAACAAUAUUUGUGUUUCAAUCAAUCACAGCAUUCAAUGGCAAAGGGUUUCACAGAAACUCAGACUAAUUCUUUUAAUUUACUUCAGUAGGAAAAAUAAAAAGCUGAAAAUACUUCUCAACUGGCCUUGUUUUGAUGUCCUGCUUUUCCGUUUGCGUUAAAUAUGUUGUGUCUCUCCAAUGAUUUCUAAAUGUAACUCCUUGUCACACUGCAGCUAAUAAACAGAACAUAUGUUCAUUCUUAUGUUCCGGAGAUAAUUAUUAAAUGAACAAUUAAUCUUUUGUUUUUGAGGUUAGGAGAGGUAACUACUCUAAGAGUUCAGGUUCUUUUUAAAAUGAAAUUAUCUGUUUUCUAGUAUGAAGAUCCUAAUGCUUGUUCAUGCCUGGUUAUCUGUAGAGUAAGGAUGAAAACUCUCAUUGGAAGCAUAAUGCUGGAAUACUUGGAUAGGCAGCGUAAUUUUAAACCACUAAAUUUGUGGUAAUCUGUUAUAGCAGCAAUAGGAAACCAAUACAGACACCGUUCAAAAGAUGAUUGUAAAGCUGUCACACUGUGGGCUUUGAAAGCAAAUUUGCUGCCUUUUCUUCCUCUGUUAUGAUAUCAUACGCUUGUUUCCACUAGCAGUAAUGCACACUGGGGUUGCCAUUGUUAAUCUUGAAAUUGUACUUUGCCAGUUAAAGACAUGAGACCUUUGGCCUCUUCUUCAUUCCUAGGGUGUCCAGUGGGUGGCCUGUGAUGUCUCCCUGCUAACGCUAGACGAUAUUUCAUCCUAUCUAACAAGCACUCUGCUCAGAUGGUCGUCUGUGCAAGUGCCACAAGGAAAGCUCCCAUGGGACCCAGAAAAGUAUUCAUUUUCCAAAGAGAAUUAAAACCCACAUUGAUAGCAUAUAAAACAAGAAUGCUUUAAAAUGUGAAGAGUGAUGAGGUUAUUUCACCCUUAAGUUAUAUUUCUAGGAAAAAGCAGAAUUUAAAUCUUAAGAGAUCUGUGUGCCCAAUUGACACUUCAAAGAAAGAGAAACCCAGCUAAUGAAAUGUAACCUAACAUCCUUCCCCAGCUUCUGUAUUCCCCAGAUUGCUACCCUUUUCCAAUUAACUUUUCCAUUCUUCUGCUAAUUAUCUGAUCUAGAAGCUUUGGAGUGAUAUUUUUCCUCCCUCUGAUUCAGCCCUUAGAAGACAUUCUCCUCUCAUCUUCGUUUUCUUUGGGGACCCUGUUUCUCAGCAUUAAUACGCAUGCGCCUAACACAGCUCUGUAUGCAGCAGCUGGCUCACAGGUUGGAGCAUGGAUUCGUUCUAUCCAGUCUGCAUCUCUUUCUGCCUGCACUUCCACACCACUCACUCCACACUCUACACAGCUCCCUGUUGCUUCCACCUGAAGUGUAAAUCCUUCUACUUAGUUUUCAAGGCCUAACUAUCCAGCUUUGCUCCCCAUGCCUCUCCACAUUCCUUCCUUCUUUCAGACGGCCAGGCAAUUUCCAUGGAUUCAUAAAAUUCAGUUUCCUCUUUUCUUGGUAACUCAGAAGAAAGGAACAGAACUGAAUCAGACGUUGACCCCUUUGACAAAUAUAUAGCUUUGUGGGGAUGGGGUAUGGGGAGACAAAUACAAAAGCUAGUUGGGGUUUUAGGUACUAUUGCAAAUGAGUUCUGUGAGCACGCCAAGAGGGGCUAAAAGAUCUUCAGGUGAGGGCACGGUAGGAAAGGCUUUGAUGAGUAGGAGAUAAUAGGAAAAUGAGUUGUCAUUUUGAGUACAGACUUUUCUUUCUUUUUUUUUUUUUUUCAUUUUGCAACGUGGCAUGUGGGAUCUUAGUUCCAAACCAGGGAUUGAACCUGUGCCCCCCUGUAAUGGAAGUGUAGAGUCUUCACCACUGAACCACUGGGGAAGUCUGAGAGCUAUUAUCUAGAACAUUAUGUGAUGUAGAUUCUAUUAAUUUUCAUGCAAAUAACGUGAUAAUGUUACCUACCCUUUCAAGUCAGACCCUAAUAAAGAUCUUCCUGCCCUGUGUCACUUGCACCAAUAGAAUGAGACAGAGUUCAGUUCAGAAGCAAAAGAAUGUUUUGUUUUUUGGUCAGAGAAUGAAGAGGUAUGGACUCACACUCAAGAGCACACACACUCUCCCCUCCAGGACAGGUUGUGGUUGGUGCUGCUUCUUAGAGUUCCCCUUCUGGGGAAGGAGGGUAGAGUUCUCGCAAAACGGACAGGCUGAAAGCAGUAUCUCCAAACCCCUGCCAUCUUGAAUCACAACAUCUUGUGAGAAGCUUCUGCACACGGUCCCCAAGCUGAGGUGUCGAGUGGUGCUGUUUGAUGCCAGGAACUAUGGUCUGAAGGGUUUUGUGCGAGGCCUCUGCGCGCAGUAUCCUGUGAGCAAGUGAAACUUGGUGUUAUACCUUAUCACCUGGAUUCCGUCUUAUUUUUCCUGGAGGCCUCAGGGGGCUUCGCCUGUGACACGAGAGAAACCAGGCUAUUUCCAUGUGUGGCACCUGGAGAGGUGAGAGCGGAAGACAUUGUACCUGACCAUGCUGCCUGCAGGGAGCGCUGAGGAGUGUGUGUGUGCUCUACAGAAAAGGAGGACCUGUACCAGCUUCCUGCCAGAUCCAGUCCAGGCCAAAGGGACUUCAUUGCAAUGCCAUGCCAAGAGUGGGCAGCAAGAAAUGGAGCCACAGCUGAAGGAGCUGACCAGGCCUUCUCCAGACUGUCCAAACAGGGCAGUUCUUGCCACCCUGGAGCUGGGAAUUGUAGAGCCAACAAUAAACUGACAAGGUCCGGCACAAUCAGAGUAAGUGAGUCUGCACCUGGCAACGUUUGUCUGUGGAAUUCAGUUUCCUACACUAUGUGUCUUACCCCGGCACUAAUACUAUCAUUUAAAAAAUGAGAACAAGAGCUAGGCCAAAGGCAGAGUUGGUUAGGCCAUAAAUAAUCUCAUGUUCGAAGCAAUUUAUGCAGCUGCCUGGUGAGCCAGCCCGAGAGGCUGGCAUACGCGGCCGCUGUGUGUAAG
Molecule: long non-coding RNA, 3021 nt
Organism: Bos taurus (domestic cattle)
Lineage: Eukaryota; Metazoa; Chordata; Mammalia; Artiodactyla; Bovidae
Source: Ensembl